Molecule: long non-coding RNA, 659 nt
Organism: Betta splendens (Siamese fighting fish)
Lineage: Eukaryota; Metazoa; Chordata; Actinopteri; Anabantiformes; Osphronemidae
Exons: 2
Source: RefSeq, a predicted model, not a curated record
GUUAAAAUCGCCCAAACUGUUGCGUCCGCCGGAACAGCGAGAGAGCGCGUACCGCAGCGGCAGCGCGCGCCGCUGCAGGCUGGAGCUCAGCGUCUGCCGCGUUCACAGCCGAGGCCGAACGUGUCUUGAUCUGAGCCUAAGCUGUUGAGACACACGAGGAACAACUUAACGGCAUGGACAUUUUAAACCCAAUCAACCCAUGGUUUUCCCAAUGUCUUCGUGAGAUACACGGCCACGUGGACUCUCUCUCCCUCAUCCACCAUUAAAUGCCCCGUGCAGAGGUGCAAAACAAUGGCUUGUCCUUCAAACACAACCUUCAGAAACUUUGCCUGAUACUGAUGUCGACUGGAAAAGCUCUAAAAGUCACUGUCCAACCGUAACGAGACACUCCUUGUUUGUUGUUGUGUUAACAUUUUCAUCAUCAGCAAACGCGACGCAGCGGAAAGAUCUGCAGCACCUUUCAUCCGGUGAUCAUGUUAUUCAGUGGAUUUGUCUCUGCAAAAAUAAUGUUUCCUCUGAAGACAAACGUUACAAGUGACGGAGGCCGGGAGUGUGAUUUUAGGAUGUGUGCCAUUAACAACAAGCCCGGGCCUUUGUUGCCCGCUCCUCAUGUGGAAUGCAUAAAUUCUGUUUCUGCUGAAUAAACUGCAUGUGCCUGC